GUGAGAGCUCUUUUCUGGAAUGUUCGUGGUUUCGGUGCUAGGGGGCGUCGGGACCAGAUUCAUGACUUGGUGUGUGGUGAGCAUAUUGACAUUUUAGGACUGGUCGAAACUUUUAAGGAAUCCUUUUCCCCUUCUGAAUUUUCUGCACUGGCUGGGAUGGGUAUAUUUGACUGGCACUUUCUACCUGCUUCGGGUCACUCUGGAGGUAUCUUAAUUGGCUCUAAGCGGGAUGUUUUUGACUUCAUUGCUUUUGAUCAUGGCAUCUUUUGGGCUAGCUGCAUAGUUCAUCAUCGCCAACUGAAUACGUUGUGGGAAUUCAUGGUGGUUUACGGGCCCACGGAUCAUUCUCUUGCUCCUCUUUUUUUGGAUGAACUCUCGAUCAAGAUUGAGGCCUGCAAUAUUCCUCUGCUAAUUGGGGGAGACUUUAAUGUGCUUCGGUCUCCGGCCGACAAGAACAAUGCUAAUUUCUCUUGGCCUCUCGCCAAUGCUUUUAAUGAUUUCAUUAGCAACUGCGCACUUCGUGAGCUUCCUAGGGUGGGGGCGCGUUUCACUUGGUCUAAUCAUCAAGCCUCCCCUGUCCGGUCGGUGCUGUAUAGGGUCUUUGUGUCUGAUCGAUGGGAUUCGCUGUUCCCUCGCACGCUGCUUAAGGCCAGGCCUGCGGUUGGGUCUGACCAUGUUCCCCUUUUCCUUGACGCAGGUAUCCUUGCUCUCGCAUCGACCUCCCAUUUCCAGUUUGAUGCUUCUUGGCUUGUGGUAGAAGGCUUUGGUGAGUUGCUGGGUUCUAAGAUUUCUAGUUUCCUUUCUUCUCUUCAUCACUCCUUUGGUACCUAG
Molecule: ribosomal RNA, 831 nt
Filed under: Triticum aestivum (bread wheat)
Lineage: Eukaryota; Viridiplantae; Streptophyta; Magnoliopsida; Poales; Poaceae
Description: partial small subunit ribosomal RNA
Source: RNAcentral